This 497-nucleotide ribosomal RNA is filed under the name uncultured bacterium. Its description in RNAcentral is "partial 16S ribosomal RNA". It matches the Rfam family "Bacterial small subunit ribosomal RNA", at positions 28 to 507 of the family's 1533-position model. The record is from RNAcentral.
GAUGAACGCUGGCGGCGUGCCUAAUACAUGCAAGUCGAGCGAACGGACGAGAAGCUUGCUUCUCUGAUGUUAGCGGCGGACGGGUGAGUAACACGUGGAUAACCUACCUAUAAGACUGGGAUAACUUCGGGAAACCAGAGCUAAUACCGGAUAAUAUUUUGAACCGCAUGGUUCAAAAGUGAAAGACGGUCUUGCUGUCACUUAUAGAUGGAUCCGCGCUGCAUUAGCUAGUUGGUAAGGUAACGGCUUACCAAGGCAACGAUGCAUAGCCGACCUGAGAGGGUGAUCGGCCACACUGGAACUGAGACACGGUCCAGACUCCUACGGGGGGCAGCAGUAGGGAAUCUUCCGCAAUGGGCGAAAGCCUGACGGAGCAACGCCGCGUGAGUGAUGAAGGUCUUCGGAUCGUAAAACUCUGUUAUUAGGGAAGAACAUAUGUGUAAGUAACUGUGCACAUCUUGACGGUACCUAAUCAGAAAGCCACGGCUAACUACGUG